RNAcentral lists this long non-coding RNA (1367 nucleotides) under Cricetulus griseus (Chinese hamster). Its description in RNAcentral is "lncRNA (ENSCGRG00015032983.1)". The record is from RNAcentral. Lineage: Eukaryota; Metazoa; Chordata; Mammalia; Rodentia; Cricetidae.
GUCUCCAGUCCCAGCCACUGCUGACUGACAGAGACUUGGGACUUAAAAGUAGCAGUUGAAGCUCCACAAAGAUGCCCGAAGGAUCCCACAUCCUAACGAUCAUCACUCUUCACCUGACUCUGGAAAGCAUUGCUCACAGAGACAGGGGCUGAAGGUGAGAGCAGAGACAAGUCUUCCCUGGCUGGUGGACUGCUUCCUUCUCUGCUCUCAUCCAACACAGCUUUCUGAACCAUUGGAUGGACUCAGUGCUGGUUGACCAUCAACUGUGCGUUCCUCUAUCCAAGGAAGAAAAUACAGAAUACUCAUCGUAGCAUGCCCUCAAGAGUUGAAGAGAUUGAUGGUUGAAAAUCACACAAGGGCCAGUGUUCAGACAGAGAAGAGUCAAUAUUGAAACAAGGACGGUAUCCCAUCGAGUCUGCUGUAGGACAAGCUCUGUAGUUUUUGCAGACUUCUUGCUGAUACCUCUUCCUCUGCAUUUUUUUCUCCAGAGUUCCUAUUUCCUGGAGCUCAAAUCUUAACUAAUGGCUCCUCUGAGGCCUCUCAUCUUCUCUGACAUUGUGUCCAACCUUGACUACUUCCCAGUCAACACCACACAGAUUCCAUCCUGAAUUCCAGUUGUUCACAGUUCUUGCCUUGUAUGCCACACUGUGUUUUACACAUACUGACUGAUUGGAUGGGUAGGCACCUAGAUUAAUAACCCGCACCAGGUCUGUGGCUGUAAGGUUGCUCUCAGAGAGGAUUAAUGAAGAAGGAGGACUCACUAAGAGGGAGGACUCACUCUGACUUGGGGAACCAGGUGGAAUAAAAGGAAGAGAAAGAAGCCAGCAAGAACAGGCUCAUGCUCUCUGCUUCCGGGCUGCUCAAUGAACAAGCACUUUUCUUCCUUGGCUCCCGCCUGCUGUGAUACCGACCUCGUUGCAGUCCAAAAAAAAUAGACACAUGACCAGUGACUGAAACAUGUGAAACAACCGUGAGCCACAACGAACUGUUCCUCCAAUGAAGAAGCAUCUGUCAGGUGUUUUGUCAUAGCAACAGAAAGUCCAGCUUCUAAGUCAGUCCUUGCUCACUUCUGACUCUCAUCAACUUCCCUAUGCUUUCUGUUAUUCCUAUUCUCCAAUGUAGAAACUCCAUUAAAACCCACUUCUGUUUCUGUUAUUUCUGUCUUAAUAGAAGGAACUAGCAUCUUUUCUGAAUUAUUUCAAAAGCUAUUUUUGUGAUGAUAUUGCAUAUUGUUCUGUAAUUUUACUGGGGAGAGGGGAAAUGAUAGGAAUUGAGCCCAUGCCAGGUGUCUACUAAGUUACACCAUCCCCAAAUCCUGUUUGUGAAUCAUCUAAUUCAUGUAUUACCUGGCCAGACUGAUCUUUAAG